UGGCUCAGGACGAACGCUGGCGGCGUGCUUAACACAUGCAAGUCGAACGAUGAACCACUUCGGUGGGGAUUAGUGGCGAACGGGUGAGUAACACGUGGGCAAUCUGCCCUGCACUCUGGGACAAGCCCUGGAAACGGGGUCUAAUACCGGAUAAUACUCCUGCACUCAUGUGUGGGGGUUAAAAGCUCCGGCGGUGCAGGAUGAGCCCGCGGCCUAUCAGCUUGUUGGUGAGGUAAUGGCUCACCAAGGCGACGACGGGUAGCCGGCCUGAGAGGGCGACCGGCCACACUGGGACUGAGACACGGCCCAGACUCCUACGGGAGGCAGCAGUGGGGAAUAUUGCACAAUGGGCGAAAGCCUGAUGCAGCGACGCCGCGUGAGGGAUGACGGCCUUCGGGUUGUAAACCUCUUCAGCAG
RNAcentral lists this ribosomal RNA (417 nucleotides) under Streptomyces prunicolor. Its description in RNAcentral is "bacterial SSU rRNA". It matches the Rfam family "Bacterial small subunit ribosomal RNA", at positions 20 to 441 of the family's 1533-position model. The record is from RNAcentral. Lineage: Bacteria; Bacillati; Actinomycetota; Actinomycetes; Kitasatosporales; Streptomycetaceae.